AUGUCUCCUAUUAAGCCACUGGUUUUGAACCUCUUGAAGUGUAAACCGUGCUAAUGGAGCCUCGGUGUGUCCCGGGGGCAGGAUUACAGCUUAGUGCACAUUCAGUUUGCAGCUUUGGGUCACACGGAAUCCGCAAUUGCCGAGCAGUUCCUGUAGGAGGCAGGAGCGUGCAUCUUGAAGAGCGAAAUGCUACACCCCAAUGCCGUGGACCGCAUUGUUAAACCUCGGAAAGGUUCUUUCUUUUCAUUCUCCUUAUAUUUUUUGCAGCAGGCUCUUCCUCGACAUCUAACAACGGGCCCUGGGAGUGGAGAAAGGAAUCGUCCACAAGCUGGGGGUUUCAGUCACGUUGCACGUUGCUGAAGGGUGUGAGAGAGAGAGAGAGCUCAAUAGAUAUAAAGGCAGGGGAAGAGUUAAAGAGUCAAGAGCAACGCUGUUCAACCAUGGAGAGUUAAACGGAGCCGGAGGACGCAACGGUGCGGCCACUAUCAACACAGCUCGGGGGACUGAGGGUCAGAAAACGGGGCGAAUCGUAAAGAAUGCAAGCUGAUGGCCUGUGUAAUCCAGUGAGAAAGUUUUCGCACUGCCGGAAGGGUAACGUUUUACCAAGCCUAAGCAUGCAUCUUUAAGUGCAAACUAAAAGCAUCACUUUAGUGUUUUUGUUACAUUUAAUUCUCCGAUCCGGGUGGUUGUUCUUGGAGAUUUCUCUUCCCCCUCCACACACACAUACACAAGAGACUCGGAGAGAGGCAGGAUAUCGAGGGCGAAGUUUCCCAAUGCUGCGGAUUUAUCCGAAGGACGCACUUUCUGGUGAAUUAUCCACGGAGUAACAAAAACUGAGCUUUCAAACCUUGCCUUUGAAGAUCGUCCCACAGGAGAUUGUGUUGGGGUUUGCUGUAGCAUUUCGGCACGGGACGGUAGAUCGAGCACGGCUGAUUUUUUUUAAUACCAUCAAGUGGUGACGGGACUAAUGCAUGACAUCAGUUAACCAACAGUGGUUUCAGAAGUGAUUCUCUAAGAGUGCCUUCAACAAGUUUCUAUUCCUCCCAGACUGACGCACCACUAUGUUACUGAAAGAAUACAGGAUCUGCAUGCCUCUCACUGUGGAAGAGAGUGUUCUGGGGGCAGCCCGCAAGUGUCGCCACGCUUCCGGCACUAACAUAGCAUGCCCACAACUUCCUAACCCAUAUGUCUUUGGAACGUGGGAGGAAACCGGAGCACCCAGAAGAAACCCACGCAGACACGGGGAGAACGUACAAACUCCAUACAGCCAGCGGCUGGAAUUGAACCUGGGUCUCUGGUGCUGUAAUAAUGUUAUGCUAACUGCUACA
This is a long non-coding RNA of Pristis pectinata (smalltooth sawfish), 1328 nucleotides long. RefSeq lists it as uncharacterized. The record is from RefSeq and is a predicted model, not a curated record. The transcript has 3 exons. Lineage: Eukaryota; Metazoa; Chordata; Chondrichthyes; Rhinopristiformes; Pristidae.